CACGCCCCCUCUAGGGAUGGGAAGUGGCGGGCAGAGUACCUCCCCCGCGCAUGUCAGAGUUGCAAACACUUUCAAUUUCAACUGUGUGGUGAUCAGGACAUUCUGUGUUGCUUGGACAACCGAGCUAAGACGGCGAUGCCACCACCUACUUGUAUCUGUACAGGACCUCCGGUGAUUAUUUCUUUUCCAAAAAUGAAGAAGCUUGUCGUUCAACCGAUGACAAAACACCUAGAGUACGUGCAAAAAUUACUACUUCCUCAUUUAUAGCA
Molecule: long non-coding RNA, 269 nt
Organism: Triticum aestivum (bread wheat)
Lineage: Eukaryota; Viridiplantae; Streptophyta; Magnoliopsida; Poales; Poaceae
Exons: 3
Source: RefSeq, a predicted model, not a curated record